Molecule: ribosomal RNA, 164 nt
Filed under: uncultured bacterium
Lineage: Bacteria
Description: partial 16S ribosomal RNA
Rfam family: Bacterial small subunit ribosomal RNA
Source: RNAcentral
UAGGGAAUCUUCCACAAUGGACGAAAGUCUGAUGGAGCAACGCCGCGUGAGUGAAGAAGGGUUUCGGCUCGUAAAACUCUGUUGUUAAAGAAGAACAUAUCUGAGAGUAACUGUUCAGGUAUUGACGGUAUUUAACCAGGAAGCCACGGCUAACUACGUGCCAG